This 398-nucleotide ribosomal RNA is filed under the name uncultured bacterium. RNAcentral's name for it is "bacterial SSU rRNA". It matches the Rfam family "Bacterial small subunit ribosomal RNA", at positions 28 to 429 of the family's 1533-position model. The record is from RNAcentral.
GACGAACGCUGGCGGCGUGCUUAACACAUGCAAGUCGAGCGGUAAGGCCCUUUCGGGGGUACACGAGCGGCGAACGGGUGAGUAACACGUGGGUGACCUGCCCUCAGCUCUGGGAUAAGCCUGGGAAACUGGGUCUAAUACUGGAUAUGACUCCACGGUGCAUGUCGUGGGGUGGAAAGCCUUGUGCGGCUGAGGAUGGGCCCGCGGCCUAUCAGCUUGUUGGUGGGGUGAUGGCCUACCAAGGCGACGACGGGUAGCCGGCCUGAGAGGGCGACCGGCCACACUGGGACUGAGACACGGCCCAGACUCCUACGGGAGGCAGCAGUGGGGAAUCUUGCGCAAUGGGCGAAAGCCUGACGCAGCGACGCCGCGUGAGGGAUGACGGCCUCGGUUGUAAC